This is a non-coding RNA of Danio rerio (zebrafish), 913 nucleotides long. Lineage: Eukaryota; Metazoa; Chordata; Actinopteri; Cypriniformes; Danionidae. The record is from RefSeq and is a predicted model, not a curated record.
UCCAGUCAUUUCCAGCCUGGUUUUAGCUGGACAGGCUGGAAGAUGACCAGCUAAAACCAGCUUGACUAGGACUGGGAGCCAGCUAUGUCCAACUUAAAGCAGGAUGAUCAAGCUGGUUUUAGAUGGGUUUAGCUGGUCAUUUUCCAGCUAAGACAAGUAUGCCUAUAAUAUAGUUAAUACUACAGUAUGCUGUAGCAUUCAUUAACACAUUGUUGUUAAUAUAUUAGCUACUACAGUGUAGUUUAAAAACACUAUAACAUAAGUAUUUUUCCAUGUGGGUUAUUUCCGUCUGUGUACUAAAUUGCUAACUGCCGUCUUUCUACUAACAUGAAAUAUAUUUACCAAAAUCCUUUUCAUACUAUAUUUAACCUGCCUUAAUAAUAUUACUAUCCGUCAUGCCUUCUCAGUGAAGAUUAUGUGUUUACAUGAUAUGUAAUGUGAUGAAUAAACAUUGUUUAUUGAGCUUUAAACUCCUUGACGCUGACCUGUGUGUGUUUCUUCAGCUCUAGUUUAAAUACAGGUGUGUUGUGGUCUAGUUUUACUCACUCUUCUCCAUUUGCCUUGUUUAUAUGGUUCUCUCAUUGUUUCAGGUGAGUGUUAAACCGGCCUGUGUUUGAGCAGGUAACAGAUAUUCAGCUCUUUUCACUCUCGGUGAAAGCAAACAGAUGGACUCAAGCCUUUAUUACAGCCUGACCUGACCCCGGCGAUUCAUCAACAAAGAGCAGGUGCAGCAGCUGCUCAAUAUCUCUCACCUGCACUGCAGCCUCAGCCAAUCAGCAGCAGAUCACACUGUCAAAGCAGCCCUCAGCUGACUUUACUCAAAAAAUGUGUGAUUGAGUGUCCGGGCGCUCACCUCUUCAUGAUGUUGAGGAUGCUGAUGGGCAGGUAGCAGAGGGCGAACACAAACAGCACC